This 307-nucleotide ribosomal RNA is filed under the name uncultured Pseudomonas sp. RNAcentral describes it as "bacterial SSU rRNA". It matches the Rfam family "Bacterial small subunit ribosomal RNA", at positions 1077 to 1382 of the family's 1533-position model. The record is from RNAcentral. Lineage: Bacteria; Pseudomonadati; Pseudomonadota; Gammaproteobacteria; Pseudomonadales; Pseudomonadaceae.
GGGUUAAGUCCCGUAACGAGCGCAACCCUUGUCCUUAGUUACCAGCACGUUAUGGUGGGCGACUCUAAGGAGAACUGCCGGUGCAAACCGGAGGAAGGUGGGGACGACGUCAAGUCAUCAUGGCCCUUACGGCCUGGGCUACACACGUGCUACAAUGGUCGGUACAAAGGGUUGCCAAGCCGCGAGGUGGAGCUAAUCCCAUAAAACCGAUCGUAGUCCGGAUCGCAGUCUGCAACUCGACUGCGUGAAGUCGGAAUCGCUAGUAAUCGUGAAUCAGAAUGUCACGGUGAAUACGUUCCCGGGCCUU